CCUACGGGUGGCAGCAGUGGGGAAUAUUGCACAAUGGGGGAAACCCUGAUGCAGCGACGCCGCGUGAAGGAAGAAGUAUUUCGGUAUGUAAACUUCUAUCAGCAGGGAAGAAAAUGACGGUACCUGACUAGAAGCCCCCGCUAACUACGUGCCCGCAGCUGCGGGAAUAAGUAGGGGGCAAGCGUUAUCCGGAUUUAAUGGGUGUAAAGGGAGCGUAGGCGGCGAUGCAAGUCAGAAGGGAAAGCCCGGGGCUUAAAUCCGGGACUGCUUUUGAAACUGUGUUGCUAGAUUGCAGGAGAGGUAAGUGGAAUUCCUAGUGUAGCGGUGAAAUGCGUAGAUAUUAGGAGGAACACCAGUGGCGAAGGCGGCUUACUGGACUGUAAAUGACGCUGAGGCUCGAAAGCGUGGGGAGCAAACAGGAUUAGAUACCCGGGUAGUC
Molecule: ribosomal RNA, 439 nt
Filed under: uncultured bacterium
Lineage: Bacteria
Description: partial 16S ribosomal RNA
Rfam family: Bacterial small subunit ribosomal RNA
Source: RNAcentral